AGUCGGACGGUAACAGGGAUUGCUUGCAAUCCGCUGACGAGUGGCGCACGGGUGCGCAACGCGUAUAGAACCUACCCUUUACAGGGGGAUAGCCCAGAGAAAUUUGGAUUAAUACCCCGUAGUACCUAUUAGAGGCAUUUCUAAUAGGUUAUAGUUUUCGAACGGUAAAGGAUGGCUAUGCGUCUUAUUAGCUAGUAGGUAAGGUAACGGCUUACCUAGGCUACGAUAAGUAGGGGCCCUGAGAGGGGGAUCCCCCACACUGGUACUGAGACACGGACCAGACUCAUACGGGAGGCAGCAGUGAGGAAUAUUGGACAAUGGGCGGAAGCCUGAUCCAGCCAUGCCGCGUGCAGGAAGACGGCCCUAUGGGUUGUAAACUGCUUUUAUACGGGAAGAAUAAGGGAUACGUGUAUCCUGGUGACGGUACCGUAAGAAUAAGGACCGGCUAACUCCGUGCCAGCAGCCGCGGUAAUACGGAGGGUCCGAGCGUUAUCCGGAAUUAUUGGGUUUAAAGGGUCCGCAGGCGGGCAAUUAAGUCAGAGGUGAAAUGGUGCGGCUCAACCGUAGCACUGCCUUUGAUACUGGUUGUCUUGAGUCAUGGUGGAGUGGCCGGAAUAUGUAGUGUAGCGGUGAAAUGCAUAGAUAUUACAUAGAACACCGAUCGCGAAGGCAGGUCACUAACCAUGUACUGACGCUGAUGGACGAAAGCGUGGGGAGCGAACGGGAUUAGAUACCCCGGUAGUCCACGCCGUAAACGAUGGAUACUAGCUGUCCGCUGCCUUGAGCAGUGGGCGGCCAAGCGAAAGUGAUAAGUAUCCCACCUGGGGAGUACGUUCGCAAGAAUGAAACUCAAAGGAAUUGACGGGGGCCCGCACAAGCGGUGGAGCAUGUGGUUUAAUUCGAUGAUACGCGAGGAACCUUACCAGGGCUUAAAUGCAGAAUGACAGGUUUAGAGAUAGACUUUUCUUCGGACAUUUUGCAAGGUGCUGCAUGGUUGUCGUCAGCUCGUGCCGUGAGGUGUCAGGUUAAGUCCUAUAACGAGCGCAACCCCUGCCGUCAGUUGCCAGCAAGUAAUGUUGGGGACUCUGACGGGACUGCCGGUGCAAACCG
This 1110-nucleotide ribosomal RNA is filed under the name Eudoraea sp. RNAcentral's name for it is "bacterial SSU rRNA". It matches the Rfam family "Bacterial small subunit ribosomal RNA", at positions 60 to 1165 of the family's 1533-position model. Lineage: Bacteria; Pseudomonadati; Bacteroidota; Flavobacteriia; Flavobacteriales; Flavobacteriaceae. The record is from RNAcentral.